This 488-nucleotide ribosomal RNA is filed under the name Itersonilia perplexans. RNAcentral describes it as "eukaryotic LSU rRNA". It matches the Rfam family "Eukaryotic large subunit ribosomal RNA", at positions 87 to 579 of the family's 3401-position model. The record is from RNAcentral. Lineage: Eukaryota; Fungi; Basidiomycota; Tremellomycetes; Cystofilobasidiales; Mrakiaceae.
CGGCGAGUGAGCGGGAUGAGCUCAAAUUUAAAAUCUGGCUGCCUCAGGUGGUCCGAGUUGUAGUCUCGAGAAGUGUUUUCCGCGUUGGCCUGUGUACAAGUCCUUUGGAAUAAGGCGUCAUAGAGGGUGAGAAUCCCGUCCUUGACACAGAUCCCCAAUGCUUUGUGAUGCGCUCUCAAAGAGUCGAGUUGUUUGGGAAUGCAGCUCAAAAUGGGUGGUAAAUUCCAUCUAAAGCUAAAUAUUGGCGAGAGACCGAUAGCGAACAAGUACCGUGAGGGAAAGAUGAAAAGCACUUUGGAAAGAGAGUUAAACAGUACGUGAAAUUGUUGAAAGGGAAACGAUUGAAGUCAGUCAUGCUCGUAGGGAUUCAGCCGGUUCUGCCGGUGUAUUUCCCUACUUGCAGGCCAGCAUCAGUUUUGACCGGUGGAAAAGGUUGGAGGGAAUGUGGCAUCCUCGGAUGUGUUAUAGCCCUCUUUCGCAUACAUCGG